RNAcentral lists this ribosomal RNA (412 nucleotides) under uncultured bacterium. RNAcentral describes it as "bacterial SSU rRNA". It matches the Rfam family "Bacterial small subunit ribosomal RNA", at positions 30 to 445 of the family's 1533-position model. The record is from RNAcentral.
AUUGAACGCUGGCGGCAUGCCUUACACAUGCAAGUCGAACGGUAACAGGUCUUCGGAUGCUGACGAGUGGCGAACGGGUGAGUAAUACAUCGGAACGUGCCCGAUCGUGGGGGAUAACGCAGCGAAAGCUGUGCUAAUACCGCAUACGAUCUACGGAUGAAAGCGGGGGAUCGCAAGACCUCGCGCGGACGGAGCGGCCGAUGGCAGAUUAGGUAGUUGGUGGGAUAAAAGCUUACCAAGCCGACGAUCUGUAGCUGGUCUGAGAGGACGACCAGCCACACUGGAACUGAGACACGGUCCAGACUCCUACGGGAGGCAGCAGUGGGGAAUUUUGGACAAUGGGCGCAAGCCUGAUCCAGCCAUGCCGCGUGAGUGAAGAAGGCCUCGGUUGUAAGACGUCUUUCGGUCCGGG